UUGGUGUGGAUGCGAGAUGAUGAUUUUCUCGACAAGUUUUAGCCGGUAUAAACCCUGCUAGCAUUGAGAGGAUGCAGUCAUUUCCCCUAGUAAGCAACCUCGACACAGAAACUUAUGGUCCUGUAGAAUCUGCCCUAAAAGAAGAGCAUAUUAUCGGAUACUUAGAUGGAAUGUCAGUUCAACGGGCUUUGGAUGCAAACAGGCUUUUCAUUGUGGACCACCAUGAUACAUUCCUGCCUUUCCUGGAGUGACUGAAUGCUCUGGAUGGCCGAAAAUGUUAUGCAACUAGAACUGUGUUCUUCUUAACUGCACUUGCCAUUGAGCUAAAUUUGCCACCGUCUGGUCCUAACUCAAAGUCGAAAAGAGUGUUAUGUUUAGAAAUGUGGUCAUUUGAAAUGAUGGUUCUCUUAGCUGGUCUUCUUCCCAACCCAACAUUAGAAACAUUCGCGCUGUCUA
Long non-coding RNA from Spinacia oleracea (spinach), 456 nucleotides. RefSeq lists it as uncharacterized. The transcript has 3 exons. Lineage: Eukaryota; Viridiplantae; Streptophyta; Magnoliopsida; Caryophyllales; Amaranthaceae. The record is from RefSeq and is a predicted model, not a curated record.